CCUACGGGUGGCAGCAGUGAGGAAUAUUGGUCAAUGGACGAGAGUCUGAACCAGCCAAGUAGCGUGAAGGAUGACUGCCCUAUGGGUUGUAAACUUCUUUUAUAAGGGAAUAAAAUGAGGCACGUGUGCCUUUUUGUAUGUACUUUAUGAAUAAGGAUCGGCUAACUCCGUGCCAGCAGCCGCGGUAAUACGGAGGAUCCGAGCGUUAUCCGGAUUUAUUGGGUUUAAAGGGAGCGUAGGUGGGUUGUUAAGUCAGUUGUGAAAGUUUGCGGCUCAACCGUAAAAUUGCAGUUGAUACUGGCAGUCUUGAGUACAGUAGAGGUAGGCGGAAUUCGUGGUGUAGCGGUGAAAUGCUUAGAUAUCACGAAGAACCCCGAUUGCGAAGGCAGCUUACUGGACUGUAACUGACACUGAGGCUCGAAAGUGUGGGUAUCAAACAGGAUUAGAUACCCGAGUAGUC
RNAcentral lists this ribosomal RNA (460 nucleotides) under uncultured bacterium. RNAcentral's name for it is "partial 16S ribosomal RNA". It matches the Rfam family "Bacterial small subunit ribosomal RNA", at positions 338 to 795 of the family's 1533-position model. The record is from RNAcentral.